GGGAACCUUCCUCUAAGGCUAAAUAUAAUACAUAAGCGACAGUGAAUAGUACCGUGAGGGAACGGGUUGAAAUAGUAGUUUUAUAAGCAGCUCGAGCUAAGGCAAGAGCGUACCUUUUGCAUAAUGGGUCACCAAGUUAACAUUAGAUGCGAGCAAUUUGCGUAGUUAAACCGAUGAUCAAAAAUGAAUUAGUGUCUAAAGUUAGACCCGAAGCUAGGUGAUCUUACUAUAGUCAGGAUUAUAAAAGUCCGAACGGGUAGAAAAAUAAGGAUAAGCUCUUAUUAUUAGCCCAUGUAGAAGUGAACCUUCUGCAAUAUAUCUUCAAAUUGCGGGAAACCCCUAAGAGCAAUCUUAACUAACAUAAGCUUGUGAAAGAACAUCUUCGCAGGUACAGAACUUAAUCUCAGGCAAGAUGUUUCAAAUUUUCUGGUAAGUUGAAUAAACUUGUUAAAAAAUCAACAUUUUACUUUGUAUAUAUCGGGGGGUCGUAGAGACUUUAUCGGUGAGUAUGUAGACUCGGAAUGGCAAAGAUGAAUCUUGAAUUAUCAGACAUAGAAUGAUAAGGUUGUAUGUCAAAAGGGAAACAGCCCAGAACAAGAGUUAAGGUUCCGAAAUUAUUGUUAAGUGAAAUUAAGAAAGUCUUUAUUCAAGUCGACAAGGAGAUGGGCUUAGAAGCAGCCAUAAUUCAAAGACCUCGUAACAGAGCGCUUGUUAAUUUUUAAAGGCGUCGAAAAUUUAACGGAUCUAAACAAUGUACCGAAACCUUGUCCAUAAUUGAUAAUAAUAAAUAAAUUAUUGUCUUUUACUGGGGUAGCAGAACAUUGAGUAAACCUGCUUCAUUAUAUUAUUUUAUAAUAAAUGAGUAGUGAUAUAGUAUCACUAACAGCAAACUCAAGAGAGAAUGGUGACAUGAGUAACAAAAAAGAAGUUGUAAGUGGUAAUUUAUAAAUUACCCGAUUUCUUUCUUUAAUGAGGAAGAAAUCUGACGAAUAGUCCAACUCUCGCCUAAAGCUUAUGGUUUAUUUAAAGUAACGGCCUCUAAGUUUACAAUCCCAAAGGUUGAAACGAUGAGAAAAUCUUAUUACUUAAAGGACAACAUUUAUAAAGUGAAAAGUGUGCUGGAAAAAAUAAGUAAUAUAUUAAUAUUUAACAAUAAACUAAAUAGAUGAGUUUAAUAUUAAUGAAAAAAAACCGUACCUAGAAACUGUGACAAGUAAGCUAGUGUAGAAUACGAAGGCGUAAAUGAGCUAACAAUCAUAAAGGAACUCGGCAAACUAACUACCGUAACUUAGGGAUAAGGAGGGCUCAUUCGUCCCGAAAAUCUCGGGUAAGAAGGAAGAAGCAUAAAAUAUUGUUGUACGACUGUUUAAUUAAAACAAAGCACUUUGCAUAAAGACUUAAAGUCUAAGUAUAGAGUGUGAUUUCUGCCCGAUGCCGGCUGGCUAACGAAAAUAACUAACUUUAAAAGGUUUGGUACUGUAGGAACCCCCGGUUAAUGGCGGCCUUAUCUUGAGGGUCCUAAGGUAGCGGAAUACCUUGACUGUUAAAUGCAGUCUUUGCAUGAAUGAUGUAACGAUACAACAGCUGUCUCUAUGAUUGACUCAGUGAAAUUGGCAUAACUGUGCAGAUACAGUUUACCUCUAGUUAGACGAGAAGACCCUAUGCAGCUUUACUGUUACUAAUUAUUAGGUAUGGUUGGGGACAAAUUUUAGUAAAUAAGGUAAUUGAUAAGAUAGAAAUGUAAUACCUUUAUUUGGGGAUCGUAUUGUAUGGAUUAAUUAAUCCUCUUCUUUUUUGUAACAAAAAAGGAAAGUAACCUUAGAAAGGAAAAAUUGCUAGGAGACAGUUUAUGCGGGGCACAGACCCCACAAAGAGUAAAUGGGAGUGUCCAAUUAUGUUUUACGCCUAUUAUUUAUAGAUGUAUCACUAAAUAAAAUUUUAAAUGUAAUUUUUUGUUUGUAAUAGUAGAUAGCAAUACGCUAUAUUCUAUCUUAUUUAUGUAUAGAUGUACAAGCCUAAACACAUGAUGUGUUUAAUGAUUAUUGCUUUUUUGUAUCUAAAUACUUUUUCGGUAUGGAUUUACAAAACUUUAAUGAGGAGCAAUUUUUUUAUUAGGUAGGAUUUUUAUUAUAGUGAAAUUAGUCGUAGUUAAAUUAUUAUGAAUGCGCUCUACAAGGGUGCUCUUCUAAUAUUUUAUUCGCUAUUAUAUAUUAGUAUAUAAUGGUUAUGUAUAAUACUUAUCAAGUUUAAUGGCUUAAUCCUGCCUUACUGUUUGACCACCAACAAGUCUUACAGUCGCGUAAGCGGGGCAUAGGAUCACAAGACACAAAAAGGAAAGGUCUUGGAUUAUUGGAAAAGCUACGCUAGGGAUAACAGGCUAAUUUGCGCAAGAGUGUACAAAAUGAGUGCGCGGUUUGGCACCUCGAUGUCGGCUUAACUUAUCCUCAUGGAUGCAGUAACUAUGUAGGGUACGACUGUUCGUCGAUUAAAAAGUUACAUGAGCUGGGUUAAAUACGUCGUGAGACAGUAUGGUUUCUAUCUUCUAGAGGGAAUUAGAAUAUAAUAAGGAAUAACCUAUGUACGCAAGGAACUUGGUAUAUUAAUAUUAAUAUUAAUAUUGAAAUAACAUAAUUAUUAAUCUCUGGUUUACCUGUUGUUUAUAUGUCCAAAUAUUAACGUAAAUUAUAUAGGACUAUCCUACUUUCACUUGAGUAGUUAUAUAGUAUAGGCACGGCAGGAAAGCUAUGUUAGUCAAAGAUAAGUGCUGAAAGCAUAUAGGCACGAAGCUUACCUUAAGAUAUUUCUCAUAUACGUAAUAUAACAUUACGAUCAUAAUAUUCUAAAUGUUGCUGCGCUGCAAAGCGUGCACACGUGGUUUGUAAUAUUAUGAGAAUAGGCUUUAUUUGUAAGAAUCUAGAGAUUAUAAGGAAUAAAGUACUAAUUUUGUAAAACACUAAAUAUUUUAUAACAGGCUAAUUUGCGCAAGAGUGUACAAAAUGAGUGCGCGGUUUGGCACCUCGAUGUCGGCUUAACUUAUCCUCAUGGAUGCAGUAACUAUGUAGGGUACGACUGUUCGUCGAUUAAAAAGUUACAUGAGCUGGGUUAAAUACGUCGUGAGACAGUAUGGUUUCUAUCUUCUAGAGGGAAUUAGAAUAUAAUAAGGAAUAACCUAUGUACGCAAGGAACUUGGUAUAUUAAUAUUAAUAUUAAUAUUGAAAUAACAUAAUUAUUAAUCUCUGGUUUACCUGUUGUUUAUAUGUCCAAAUAUUAACGUAAAUUAUAUAGGACUAUCCUACUUUCACUUGAGUAGUUAUAUAGUAUAGGCACGGCAGGAAAGCUAUGUUAGUCAAAGAUAAGUGCUGAAAGCAUAUAGGCACGAAGCUUACCUUAAGAUAUUUCUCAUAUACGUAAUAUAACAUUACGAUCAUAAUAUUCUAAAUGUAAUAUUAUGAGAAUAGGCUUUAUUUGUAAGAAUCUAGAGAUUAUAAGGAAUAAAGUACUAAUUUUGUAAAACACUAAAUAUUUUAU
RNAcentral lists this ribosomal RNA (3528 nucleotides) under Xylaria hypoxylon. Its description in RNAcentral is "large subunit ribosomal RNA". The stretch from base 1 to 2906 matches the Rfam family "Bacterial large subunit ribosomal RNA", at positions 448 to 2925 of the family's 2925-position model. Lineage: Eukaryota; Fungi; Ascomycota; Sordariomycetes; Xylariales; Xylariaceae. The record is from RNAcentral.